UUAAGUUCAGCGGGUAUCCCUACCUGAUCCGAGGUCAACAUUACUGCUUUACACAGAAUGGGGGUCCAACAGCCUGGAUUCUGACCAGCCUACAAACUGAUUUAGCAUCACGAGAUACUCUGUAAGUCUGUCACCAUGGUCUACAUCUCCGGCCUAUUCAUUCCAGCAGAGUGGGGCCAGCACUGCCAGCCCUACCCACU
This 200-nucleotide unclassified non-coding RNA is filed under the name Tuber sp. RNAcentral describes it as "partial internal transcribed spacer 2". Lineage: Eukaryota; Fungi; Ascomycota; Pezizomycetes; Pezizales; Tuberaceae. The record is from RNAcentral.